AUGAGUCAAAAACAUGCUUUUCUUGCUGCCUCCAGAACAGCCCAUACGAUCAUCCCAGACCGUACUCCUGAGAAGAUCUUCUUGGAUACAGUCAGACUGAUUGCAGAAAGAACAGAUGAUCUACUUGCCGAGGUCAGGAAAUACAUAAAGGAUGGAAAGCUUGCCGAAACAGCAGUUUUGCUCCUGGCAGCUCAAAAGAAGAUCCGCGCGGGAUCUUCGUUCAAGGAAAAUGGCAAUAGCAAGACAGAUGGGUUUAGUAUUAUCUCUCAUGUUUGUACAGAGGAUGCUGUUGCCAUAGAUUCACAGAUUACUCAAAACAGAGUUAGAAAGAAGCAGCAGCUGAAGGCGGACAAAAAGCUUAGGCGUAUGGCAUUGCUGCUUGUUAUUGUAAUUUGCGAAGCUGGCGAAGCUCUUGAUGCAUACAUUCGGGCACAUCCAGAGGUCCCCUAUGCCAUGCAGGUGGCUCACGAUGAGGUUCUGAAACGUGUCUCAUCGAUUCUGAAUAACCAUGGUUUUUGUCCUACUGGAGAAUGCAUCAACAUAGAAAAUCUCUGCCCCUAUGAUCAACAAUCAUCCUCUCUGUCAGACAACAUGUUGUCCAACAAACAUGAUGGAUAUGCUACAGCUGAGAUGGUUGCCAGAAAGAAACAGCCUAGAGGAUGGGAGCUCGAACAUGCAAGGAGAAGCUUCGUCCCAUACUGGAAGGCAGUGUUAUUUUCCCAGUUGGAAGCAAGGGCGUGCUCCAGUCCCAUGAUAGAAUCGAAAGCCAUUAGAGAGAUGGAUGAAAUUCUGAAUAAGGCAGCCGAAGAAGGAUCAUCUCCGAUUCCACAUAGCAAUCUUGGUUUGUCGGGAAGAAUUUCGCGAUUGACAAGUAAUCAUCGAUCCAGAAGGCUGUUUGGUACUGCGGCAUCAACAGUCUUGAAACUGUUAAAGCAUGCAUAA
Molecule: ribosomal RNA, 942 nt
Filed under: Triticum aestivum (bread wheat)
Lineage: Eukaryota; Viridiplantae; Streptophyta; Magnoliopsida; Poales; Poaceae
Description: partial small subunit ribosomal RNA
Source: RNAcentral